UACCAUGUGAGGGUUCAAAAAACUCAUUUCAAGCCCUAGGUUUACAACUAGGCAAGAAAUCAUUAAAUUGAUCCAUGAUUUAAGCAACAAUCAUCUCUUUAGCAUGCUAGAAUAGCUCUAAAUCCAUUCUUGAAGCUUAAAACCCAAACUACAAGGAGACACCAUUAAAGGGUUUUGGAGCUUACCUUCAAAGCUUGGUUCUCAUGCAAGGAAGAAGAUGGAGAAGAUGAAAAUCCAUCCUUGAGCUUCAAUCUCCACCAAAACCUUCUCUUUUGGGGGAGAUUUAGAGAGAGAAAGGAGAGUUCUCUUCCUCCCUCUCCUUGCUGUGUGUGGCGUGUGUGUGUGUGCAUUCGGCUGAGGAGGAGAAGGAGAAAAGGGAUUAAAUCCCUUUUAACAAAUCAGGCCCUCAACUAUUACACUAUUCACCUCGGGCAGCAGUUUAGAAGUUCGGAACAGUUGGAGCCCUUCUGAAUGUCCGUUUGAGCUCAAAUUUGACAGGCAGGCUCAGUUUAGCUUACUGAGUAAGAAUAUAUUUUAAGUUUUCAGUUUCGACCCCAUUUGGUCACCGAAAACGGUACCGAAUUGUAAUCUUUAUCAGAUAACUUGUCAUAUUUUAUUUUCCACCUUCUGGGUGUCAGAAAAAUAUGAAACUUUAAAUCUAGUCUCAUAAAAAUAUUUCUGACUUGUCCUCCAAUUUUCAUAAUUUUCUGAGACUGUACAUUUUCUGCUAAUUUAUCUGUUCCGUUUUCAACAGAAAAUUCUAGAUCUUCUGUUUUCAUUCCGAUUUUAGCACAAGUCACUUCUGACUUAUGUUUUACUCCUCUAAAUUCAAUAAAAAUAGUAUCUCACUCUAUUUUUAUUUAUUUUUAUUUUUAUACCAAAAUCUGGUAUGUUACACUAGGUUUAAUGCCACUCAUGAAUCACCUAUGUUCAUUGACACUAGGUUUCAUUGCCACUCAUGU
Molecule: long non-coding RNA, 962 nt
Filed under: Ananas comosus (pineapple)
Lineage: Eukaryota; Viridiplantae; Streptophyta; Magnoliopsida; Poales; Bromeliaceae
Description: long non-coding RNA (ACOM_LNC000576)
Source: RNAcentral